This 1472-nucleotide ribosomal RNA is filed under the name Klebsiella pneumoniae. Its description in RNAcentral is "bacterial SSU rRNA". It matches the Rfam family "Bacterial small subunit ribosomal RNA". Lineage: Bacteria; Pseudomonadati; Pseudomonadota; Gammaproteobacteria; Enterobacterales; Enterobacteriaceae. The record is from RNAcentral.
GCUCAGAUUGAACGCUGGCGGCAGGCCUAACACAUGCAAGUCGAGCGGUAGCACAGAGAGCUUGCUCUCGGGUGACGAGCGGCGGACGGGUGAGUAAUGUCUGGGAAACUGCCUGAUGGAGGGGGAUAACUACUGGAAACGGUAGCUAAUACCGCAUAACGUCGCAAGACCAAAGUGGGGGACCUUUCGGGCCUCAUGCCAUCAGAUGUGCCCAGAUGGGAUUAGCUAGUAGGUGGGGUAACGGCUCACCUAGGCGACGAUCCCUAGCUGGUCUGAGAGGAUGACCAGCCACACUGGAACUGAGACACGGUCCAGACUCCUACGGGAGGCAGCAGUGGGGAAUAUUGCACAAUGGGCGCAAGCCUGAUGCAGCCAUGCCGCGUGUGUGAAGAAGGCCUUCGGGUUGUAAAGCACUUUCAGCGGGGAGGAAGGCGGUGAGGUUAAUAACCUCACCGAUUGACGUUACCCGCAGAAGAAGCACCGGCUAACUCCGUGCCAGCAGCCGCGGUAAUACGGAGGGUGCAAGCGUUAAUCGGAAUUACUGGGCGUAAAGCGCACGCAGGCGGUCUGUCAAGUCGGAUGUGAAAUCCCCGGGCUCAACCUGGGAACUGCAUUCGAAACUGGCAGGCUAGAGUCUUGUAGAGGGGGGUAGAAUUCCAGGUGUAGCGGUGAAAUGCGUAGAGAUCUGGAGGAAUACCGGUGGCGAAGGCGGCCCCCUGGACAAAGACUGACGCUCAGGUGCGAAAGCGUGGGGAGCAAACAGGAUUAGAUACCCUGGUAGUCCACGCUGUAAACGAUGUCGAUUUGGAGGUUGUGCCCUUGAGGCGUGGCUUCCGGAGCUAACGCGUUAAAUCGACCGCCUGGGGAGUACGGCCGCAAGGUUAAAACUCAAAUGAAUUGACGGGGGCCCGCACAAGCGGUGGAGCAUGUGGUUUAAUUCGAUGCAACGCGAAGAACCUUACCUGGUCUUGACAUCCACAGAACUUUCCAGAGAUGGAUUGGUGCCUUCGGGAACUGUGAGACAGGUGCUGCAUGGCUGUCGUCAGCUCGUGUUGUGAAAUGUUGGGUUAAGUCCCGCAACGAGCGCAACCCUUAUCCUUUGUUGCCAGCGGUUAGGCCGGGAACUCAAAGGAGACUGCCAGUGAUAAACUGGAGGAAGGUGGGGAUGACGUCAAGUCAUCAUGGCCCUUACGACCAGGGCUACACACGUGCUACAAUGGCAUAUACAAAGAGAAGCGACCUCGCGAGAGCAAGCGGACCUCAUAAAGUAUGUCGUAGUCCGGAUUGGAGUCUGCAACUCGACUCCAUGAAGUCGGAAUCGCUAGUAAUCGUAGAUCAGAAUGCUACGGUGAAUACGUUCCCGGGCCUUGUACACACCGCCCGUCACACCAUGGGAGUGGGUUGCAAAAGAAGUAGGUAGCUUAACCCUUCGGGAGGGCGCUUACCACUUUGUGAUUCAUGACUGGGGUGAA